RNAcentral lists this ribosomal RNA (478 nucleotides) under uncultured bacterium. RNAcentral's name for it is "bacterial SSU rRNA". It matches the Rfam family "Bacterial small subunit ribosomal RNA", at positions 8 to 492 of the family's 1533-position model. The record is from RNAcentral.
AGAGUUUGAUCCAUGGCUCAGGAUGAACGCUAGCGGCAGGCCUAAUACAUGCAAGUCGAACGGUGGUAGCAAUACCAUAGUGGCGCACGGGUGCGUAACACGUAACUAACCUACCUAUAACUGGGGGAUAGCCCGCCGAAAGGCGGAUUAAUACCGCAUAAGCUGUUUGAGUGGCAUCACUCGAUUAGUAAAGAUUUAUUGGUUAUAGAUGGGGUUGCGGGUCAUUAGCUAGUUGGUAAGGUAACGGCUUACCAAGGCGACGAUGACUAGGGGAGCUGAGAGGCUGGUCCCCCACACGGGCACUGAGAUACGGGCCCGACUCCUACGGGAGGCAGCAGUAGGGAAUAUUGGGCAAUGGGCGAGAGCCUGACCCAGCCAUGCCGCGUGCAGGAAGAAGGCUUUCUGAGUCGUAAACUGCUUUAGACAGGAAAGAAUAAGCUGGUCGUGACCAGUGAUGACGGUACCUGCAGAAUAAGCC